RNAcentral lists this ribosomal RNA (443 nucleotides) under uncultured bacterium. RNAcentral describes it as "partial 16S ribosomal RNA". It matches the Rfam family "Bacterial small subunit ribosomal RNA", at positions 28 to 507 of the family's 1533-position model. The record is from RNAcentral.
GAUGAACGCUGGCGGCAUGCCUAACACAUGCAAGUCGAUCGGUAAGGCUCUUCGGAGUACCCGAGAGGCGGACGGCUGAGUAACGCGUAGGAACACACCCUGCAGUGAGGGAUAAGACACCGAAAGGUGUUCUAAUACCGCAUACGGUCUUCGGAUUAAAGCAUUUAUGCGCUGAAGGAGUGGCCUGCGUCAUAUUAGAUAGUUGGUGAGGUAAUGGCUCACCAAGUCGAUGAUGUGUAGCUGGUCUGAGAGGAUGAUCAGCCAGACUGGAACUGAGACACGGUCCAGACUCCUACGGGAGGCAGCAGUGAGGAAUAUUUCACAAUGAGCGAAAGCUUGAUGGAGCAAUGCCGCGUGCAGGAUGAAGGCCCUCGGGUUGUAAACUGCUUUUAUAAGAGAAGAUUAUGACGGUAACUUAUGAAUAAGAGACGGCUAACUACGUG